RNAcentral lists this unclassified non-coding RNA (518 nucleotides) under Leucadendron olens. RNAcentral describes it as "sequence contains ITS1, 5.8S rRNA gene and ITS2". The stretch from base 148 to 303 matches the Rfam family "5.8S ribosomal RNA". The record is from RNAcentral. Lineage: Eukaryota; Viridiplantae; Streptophyta; Magnoliopsida; Proteales; Proteaceae.
CCCCUCUAUGGUCGGUCGGUCCCCGUGGCCUCCGACCCAACACAACAAUCGGCGCGGUUUGCGCCAAGGAACUCACAACGGAAUGGGUGUGGCACCGCCGUGACUUGUGCGUGGCGUGUGCUGUAYCAAAAUCCGAACCUCAUUAACGACUCUCGGCAACGGAUAUCUCGGCUCUCGCAUCGAUGAAGAACGUAGCGAAAUGCGAUACUUGGUGUGAAUUGCAGAAUCCCGUGAACCAUCGAGUCUUUGAACGCAAGUUGCGCCCUAGGCCAUCGGGCCGAGGGCACGUCUGCCUGGGCGUCACGCAUCGCGUCGCCCUCCCUCGACCCUCCUUGUGGCGGCCGAGUGCGGAGCGGAGAUUGGCCCCCCAUUUCCCCUGGGGUGUGGUCGGCCUAAAAGGAAUGGCCCCCGUGUGACGAGCACCACGACGAGAGGUGGUUGUAGCCAAUCAGCUAGACGUCACGUGCUUCGUCUCCGUGGGCCGUCUAUGGAACCCUCUUAUUACGACUGCGACCCCA